RNAcentral lists this ribosomal RNA (274 nucleotides) under uncultured bacterium. Its description in RNAcentral is "partial 16S ribosomal RNA". It matches the Rfam family "Bacterial small subunit ribosomal RNA", at positions 523 to 796 of the family's 1533-position model. The record is from RNAcentral.
AUACAGAGGGUGCAAGCGUUAAUCGGAAUUACUGGGCGUAAAGCGCGCGUAGGUGGAUACUUAAGUCGGAUGUGAAAGCCCCGGGCUCAACCUGGGAACUGCAUUCGAUACUGGGUGUCUUGAGUAUGGUAGAGGGAAGUGGAAUUUCCGGAGUAGCGGUGAAAUGCGUAGAUAUCGGAAGGAACACCAGUGGCGAAGGCGACUUCCUGGACCAAUACUGACACUGAGGUGCGAAAGCGUGGGGAGCAAACAGGAUUAGAAACCCCAGUAGUCC